RNAcentral lists this transfer RNA (74 nucleotides) under Candidatus Faecinaster equi. Its description in RNAcentral is "tRNA-Ile". It matches the Rfam family "tRNA". Rfam says of the family: Transfer RNA (tRNA) molecules are approximately 80 nucleotides in length. Their secondary structure includes four short double-helical elements and three loops (D, anti-codon, and T loops). The record is from RNAcentral. Lineage: Bacteria; Pseudomonadati; Bacteroidota; Bacteroidia; Bacteroidales; Bacteroidaceae.
GGUCUCAUAGCUCAGCCGGUAAGAGCAAGGUGCUCAUAACUCCGAGGUCGUAGGUUCGAACCCUACUGAGACCA